AGUCGAACGGCAGCGCGGGGAACUCGGUUCCCUGGCGGCGAGUGGCGGACGGGUGAGUAAUGCGUAGGAAUUUACCCUAUAGUGGGGGAUAACCUAGGGAAACUUAGGCUAAUACCGCAUGAACCCUAUGGGGGAAAGCAGGGGAUCCAUCUGGACCUUGCGCUAUGGGAUGAGCCUACGUCGGAUUAGCUAGUUGGUAGGGUAAGGGCCUACCAAGGCAACGAUCCGUAGCUGGUCUGAGAGGAUGGUCAGCCACACUGGGACUGAGGUACGGCCCAGACUCCUACGGGAGGCAGCAGUGGGGAAUAUUGGACAAUGGGGGAAACCCUGAUCCAGCAAUGCCGCGUGUGUGAAGAAGGCCUGCGGGUUGUAAAGCACUUUCAGCUGUGAAGAAAAGCUUGGGGCUAAUACCUCCAAGCCUUGACGUUAGCUGCUGAAGAAGCCCCGGCCAACUCCGUGCCAGCAGCCGCGGUAAGACGGAGGGGGCUAGUGUUAAUCGGAAUUACUGGGCGUAAAGGGCGCGUAGGUGGUUCGGUAAGUCGAAUGUGAAAGCCCUGGGCUCAACCCAGGAAUUGCAUUCGAUACUGCCGGGCUAGAGUUUGGUAGAGGGGAGCGGAAUUCCACAUGUAGCGGUGAAAUGCGUAGAUAUGUGGAGGAACACCAGUGGCGAAGGCGGCUCCCUGGACCAAAACUGACAUUGAGGCGCGAAAG
This 711-nucleotide ribosomal RNA is filed under the name uncultured bacterium. Its description in RNAcentral is "bacterial SSU rRNA". It matches the Rfam family "Bacterial small subunit ribosomal RNA", at positions 60 to 759 of the family's 1533-position model. The record is from RNAcentral.